RNAcentral lists this ribosomal RNA (245 nucleotides) under uncultured archaeon. RNAcentral's name for it is "partial 16S ribosomal RNA". It matches the Rfam family "Archaeal small subunit ribosomal RNA", at positions 474 to 718 of the family's 1478-position model. The record is from RNAcentral.
CACCAGCUCCACAAGUGGGGAUCACAUUUAUUUGGCCUAAAGCGUCCGUAGCCGGUUUUGUAAAUCCUUUGUGAAAUUGUUAGGCUUAACCUAACAGCAUGCAGGGGACACUGCAGAACUAGGGACCGGGAAGGGCAAGGGGUAUGCUGAGGGGAGCGGUAAAAUGCAAUAAUCCUCGGUAGACCACCUGUGGCGUAGGCGCCUUGCUAGAACGGGUCCGACGGUGAGGGACGAAAGCCAGGGGA